AUCCUGGCUCAGGAUGAACGCUGGCGGCGUGCCUAACACAUGCAAGUCGAACGAAGCAUAUUUGGCGGAGAUUCGUCGAAGCUGGAUAUGACUUAGUGGCGGACGGGUGAGUAAUGUAUGAGCAACCUGCCUUCAGAGGGGGACAACAGUUGGAAACGACUGCUAAUACCGCAUAACAUUACCGGGUGGCAUCACCUGGUAAUCAAAGGAGCAAUCCGCUGAAAGAUGGGCUCAUAUCUGAUUAGCUGGUUGGCGGGGUAACGGCCCACCAAGGCGACGAUCAGUAGCCGGACUGAGAGGUUGAACGGCCACAUUGGGACUGAGAUACGGCCCAGACUCCUACGGGAGGCAGCAGUGGGGAAUAUUGGGCAAUGGGCGAAAGCCUGACCCAGCAACGCCGCGUGAAGGAAGAAGGUCUUCGGAUUGUAAACCUCUGUCUUUGGUGAAGAAGAAAGUGACGGUAGCCAAGGAGGAAGCCACGGCUAACUACGUGCC
This 495-nucleotide ribosomal RNA is filed under the name uncultured organism. Its description in RNAcentral is "SSU rRNA". It matches the Rfam family "Bacterial small subunit ribosomal RNA", at positions 16 to 509 of the family's 1533-position model. The record is from RNAcentral.